Eriocheir sinensis (Chinese mitten crab) is the source of this 9371-nucleotide RNA transcript. It is a transcript of the gene named ras-related protein Rab-11A-like, with no coding region annotated. Lineage: Eukaryota; Metazoa; Arthropoda; Malacostraca; Decapoda; Varunidae. The transcript has 7 exons. The record is from RefSeq and is a predicted model, not a curated record.
GCGAGGUCUGGCAACAGUGUAGGGCAGGAGAGGCGUGAAGGGUCGCCAUCUUGGGCCGCUGUGAGCUGUGUCGCGCCUUUAUCGCCAUUUAUCCGCCCCAUCACGGUGCUGCAGCCGCCGGAGGGAGCUGUGAAGGCUGUGUCAUCCUCCCAGCGGCGCCAUUACCCCGGACUCUUGCCCUCCACCGCCAUCCAUCUUGACUUUUGACAAGGAUUUCUUUUGUUUACAUUGACCUCCUCCUCCUCCUCCUCCCGGUCCUUUUCCUCACCCAAACCGAAAAUGGGCAACCGGGACGACGAGUAUGACUAUUUAUUCAAAGUGGUGCUAAUUGGGGACUCUGGAGUUGGCAAGAGUAACCUCCUCUCCAGAUUUACCAGAAAUGAGUUCAACCUCGAGUCCAAAUCCACCAUUGGGGUUGAAUUCGCCACAAGAAGCAUAGAGGUGGACGGCAAGACGAUAAAGGCACAGAUCUGGGACACUGCUGGCCAGGAGCGUUACCGAGCCAUCACCUCCGCCUACUAUAGGGGUGCUGUGGGUGCCUUGCUGGUGUACGACAUCGCCAAACUCCUCACCUACACCAACGUCGAGCGCUGGCUGAAGGAGCUGAGGGACCAUGCUGACCAGAACAUUGUCAUCAUGCUUGUCGGCAACAAGUCUGACCUGCGCCACUUGCGGUCCGUGCCCACCGAGGAGGCCAAGGCGUUUGCUGAGAAGGAGGGUCUCUCUUUUAUCGAGACGUCCGCGUUAGACUCCACCAACGUCGAGACAGCCUUCCAUAACAUCCUCACAGAGAUUUACAGGAUCGUGUCGCAGAAGCAAAUCCGCGACCCCCAUGAUCGUGAUGACAGCCCCACGGCCGAUGUAAAGGCUAUACACGUGGAGCCGACAGUAAAUGCGGAGAGUGUGCGCAGGCAGUGUUGUCAGCAGUAGUGGGGGGGGCAUCGGGCGCUCUCUCCCCCCCCCUUCAAUGCUGCCUAUUCGGGAUUAAAGAGAACAGGAAAUCUACCGCAUAGUGUCACGGCAGCAACUCCCAGACAGCGGACCGAACGAACCUCCAGGCGGGAAGACGAUCACAGUCGAGCCCACCGUGUCCACCAGUGGGCCCUCCUCCAACAACUGCUGUGCCCGCUAGUCUCCUCCUCUCCUCCACCACACCACCUCCUCCUCCACCACCAUCACCACCCACCACCACCACUACUACCAGUAUCUCCACCACUCCUACUGUCGUCACUGCUGCUGCUUCUGUUAUCUAUACUUUUUUUUUCCUCCUCUAUUUUGAUUACCGCUGUUACUGUUACGCCAUGUUAUCACGCCGUCUGUGUUUCUCUACCUUAACUCUUUCCUCUUCUUCCUCUAUUCCAUUUUGCUGUGUCUCUGUAAUUCCCUGUUUUCUUGUUUAUAUUUUGUUUUGUUUUCCAUCUUCUCUCUUCCUUCACUAACUUCUCUUUCUCCUUUUUCUUCCAUAUUCUUUGUUUCCACUGUUCCAAGUUACUCUGUCUCUGUAAUUCACUGUUUACAUAUUCCGUCUCAUCUUCGUUCUAUAUCUUAUCUCUUCCUAUGCUAAUUUACGCGCUAUCAUGAUUUGCUUCUCUUUCUUUCUUUCUCCUUGUCCUCCUCAUCUUCUGGUUCCUCAAACCUUUAUUCUUGUCUCUUGUUUCCAUCUUUCUGAACUUAUCUUAUUUUUCACUUCUUCCUCUUCUGGCUCCUCUAAUCUUUACUCCUAUCCUGUUUUAUCUUUUUGUUUUGACUAGAUUCUCCUACAUCUCUUUCUCUCGUCCUCCUUCAUCUCUUCCUCCUCUUUAGUUUGUUUCUUGGAUGUUGUUUUUUUUCCUUUCCUCAAUAUUCUCCCUUUUCACUUUUCUCCUUCCCCCAACACCACCACCACCACCACCAGCACCGCCACACCCAGAAUAUCCCAGUUACAGUCUGUCCCAUUCAUUCAGUCUGUCAGUCACUCAGUCUCUUCCUUCCUUGCCCUGAAGAGCGAUACAGUUUGAUGGUUUGCCUGACGAGUCCAUAUCUGCCUUUCUCUCUUUGUUGUCCACCUCCUCCACCACUCUCACUGAUGCUGUAUGUGUGUGUGUGUAUGUGUGUGUGUGUGUAUGGUUAGGUGAAAGGGGAAAGGCAUUUGCUGGUCUCACACACACACGUGCAUACACACUCACACGCACACACACUUACACACACACACACACACACAUAUACAUGAAACUGGGGCUCUGAGGUUGUUCUGCCAAGGAGGAUGUGGGUAUAAAUAUAUAUAUAAAUAGUAUUGUUUGCUCACUAAUGAAUGCAAUCCCUGUUUAUACUUCUCCUAGUACUGUAUCUUCACUCUUCUCCUCCUCCUCCUCCUCGUCCUUCCUUCCUUUUACCCAUCACCCUCCUCCUCCCAUUAUUACCAGACUGGCUUCACACACACACCUCUCCUCCCUGUACCAAGUUGAUCACACCAGAGCCAUAGCAUUGGAAAGUCUGCCACCUUCAAUUCAGAGGCGCCUCAUUGCUACCGAGAGAGACACAUGAAAUUCAAAUUGCCGCUGAUACAAUUGUUUUUUCUGUGUUUACGUUUGCUGUGGGUAUAAUCAGGAUAUCGAAAAAGCACCUCGGGCAUGAAAAACACUAUUGUCAGUUUGGAUUUCAAGCGUCUCAUCUGGUAGCAACGUAGCGCCUGUGAUGAGAGUAACAACGCUCUUCUACGCCAUGGCUCUGCAUCACGACACCCUCCUCUACUUCUUCUUCCCUGUAAUUGAGGAUUGUGAUAACACUGUCCAUAUUCACAGCUAUGUAUAAUUAUCAGUGUUAGGGAACGAACGAACCCCGUGUGUCGAGAUUAAGUAAGGAAGGUGUGUGUUUGAUGGCUUGUACGUACGUGGCGUCCGAACUUGCACUCGGAAUUCUUUACUGUGGAAAAUCGAGUGAAGGGAAGAUUAAGUUGUCGGUAAUUGAUUUUUACAUCCAGAAAGUCGAACCAACAAAAACUUACCUGUAAAAUUUGACCGAAGAUUAAAUUAAUUUGUCUGUUGUUAAUUCUUGUAUCUGGAAGUUGAACCGAGACCAAAUAAGCUUCGUAAUCAACUUGUAUCAUCCACAACCAUAUAUGCUUGAUAGAUAGAUACAUAGGAGCAAAGAUAAAUAGAGAAAUAAAAUCUGGAAAAUAUCUAGCUCGGAAAAUUAAAAUGCAGACAAAAUUAAGCAGCCAGCUGUUAGUUCUUGUGUCUGGAAAGUCGAACCGAGACAAAAUUAACCUCGUAAUGAACUUGUAUCUGGAAAAUAUCUAGCAUGGAAAUUCUAACAAAACAUAAUUAACUUGUCUGUAAUUAGAAUUCUUGUAUCGUUAAAAUUGAACCAGACAAAAUUCUCCAUAAUUGAUAUAAACACUAAUUUGAUGGCAUGGGUUACUGACACCUUAUUAAUUGAUGUCUGUUAUUAGAGUUCUUGUAUCACUGAAAUUGAACUAAGGAUAAAAUUAACCUCCACAAUUGAUAUAAACACUAAUUUGACAGCACGGGUUACUGUCGUCUUAUUAACUGUUGGCUGUUAUUAGAGAUGGUAGAAUUGAACAAAGACAAAAUCAGCUUCUCCACAAUUGAUAUAAACACUAAUUUUAUGUCAUGGGUUACUGUCACCUUAAUAGCAGUGUAUUGAUGAGUGCUUGAGAGACUUGGAGCUAAUAUUUAAAAGAUGAAACUGAUAGAAGUGUUAAUAAGACCCUAAUCUGACCUAUAGGAGGGUUGGAAUGCAUCUGUUGUUUCCUUGAUCUUGAGUUACAUUAUUACCAACAGACAAAGAGGGAUAUAAAGGAACUGAUGUGAGGGUAAAUAAAGAACUUGAGCAAAUAUACAAGGUUAAUCCAAGACCCAAAGCUGACCAAUAAGAGGGUUGGAAUGCAUCUAUUGUUUCCUUGAUCUGGAGUUACAUUAUUACCAACAGAAAAAGAGGGAUAUAAAGGAACUGAUGUGAGGGUAAAUAAAGAACUUGAGGUUAAUCUAAGACCCAAAGCUGACCAAUAAGAGGGUUGGAAUGUAUCUUGUUUCCUUGAUCUGGAGUUACAUUAUUACCAACAGACAAGUGAUAUAGAAGAACUGAUGUGAGGGUAAAUAAAGCACUUGGGCAAAUACAUAAGAGGUUCAUCUAAUAAGUCUUUUUUAAUUCUUCUCUUCCUUGUUCUCAUCCUCCUUCUCUUCUGGUUCCUCCAAUCUUUACUCUUUUCUGUAUUAUUUUUCCACCUUUAUGUCUUUGUUAGAUUCUCCGAUGUUCCUCUUUUUUUUCUUUCCUUCCUUUUCAUUCUUCUUCCUAUAAGCCACCUAAGAAAGCCUCCCUUAAUUCUUUCCUUCCUUCUCAUUCUUCAUCCUAUAAGCCUCUAAGAAAGCCCCCCUUAAGGACUUCUCAUUCUUCCCCUUCUUGUAACCUCAUAAGAAAGACCCCCUUAAUUCUUACAUUCCUUCUCAUUUUUCUCCUUAUAAGCUCCUAAGAAAGACCCCCUUAAGGACUUUUCAUGCUUCUCCUAUGCCUUUUCACUUCUUAUAAGCUCCUGAGAAAGACCCCCUUGAGGACUUUUCACUCUUCUUAUAAACUCCUGAGAAAGCUCCCCCUUGAGGACCUUCCAUUCUUCUCCUUAUAAGCUCCGAAGAAAGCCCCACUUGAGCGCAUACGAGCCAUCCAACACACACCUAAGCAAUGGGGGUGCGAGGCCACACAGUACCAUUACCAUAACAUAGGCAGGCUUGCAGUGGGUGGGUGGGACAGGUUAGCUAGCCAUGUUUUGUUAUAGCUGAAAAAAAAAUGUUUAUAUAUAUGAUUAAGCUUAAACUGAAAGAGAGAGUAAGUAAGAGAGAGAAAAGCUUGUGGAUUGCUGUACUAUAUUUACAACUAUUACUAUGUCUACUACUAUUAUUAUUGCUAUUAUUAUUAUGAGUAUGUUUUUUGGUGAUUCUGUAUAUUGUUUUUUUUUUUCUUCCACUUUCGCUCCUGUCAGGUUUAAAUCGUCUAUUGUCGCCAGCGAGUGAGUUUGUUCGUUUAUUAUUUUUCCUUUCCGAGUCAGAAUUGGACCAAAGUGUGAUAAUUAUUAUACUUGAGGCAAAUUUUUAAGUAAGUUGAGAUAAUAAUAAUAAUGUGUUGCUGCCCAAAGGUUAGAUAAAUAAAUGUGGCAAAAAGAUCAUGAGAGAGAGAGAGAGAGAGAGAGAGAGAGAGAGAGAGAGAAUGAGUUGAAGUAUGUGGAUUUUAAGCAUAACAAAAAGAAAUUAAGAAUGAAUUGUUAACUUACCAUAUUUUGAGUGUACAGUGAGAGAGAGAGAGAGAGAUUGAAAUGUGUGUAUCUUAAGCAUAACAAAAAAAAAAAAAAAAAUUGUUAACUUACCAUAUUUUGAGUGUACAGUGAAAGAGAGAGAGAGAGAGAGAGAGAGAGAGAGGGAUGAAAUGUGUAUCUUAAGCAUUGCAAAAAGAAAUUAAGAAUGAAUUGUUAACUUACCAUAUUUUGAGUGUACAGUGAGAGAGAGAGAGAGAUGUGUGUAUCUUAAGCAUUGGAAAAAGAAAUUAAGAUUGAAUUGUUAACUUACCAUAUUUUGAGUGUACAGAGAGAGAGAGAGAGAGAGAGAGAUGUGUAUCUUAAGCAUUGGAAAAAGAAAUUAAGAUUGAAUUGUUAACUUACCAUAUUUUGAGUGUACAGAGAGAGAGAGAGAGUUGAAAUGUGUCUGUCCAAAGAUUAAAUAGACUGAACUUGGUAAAAAAGAUUAAGAAAAAAAUUGUUAUCGUAUCUCAACUGUAGAGAGAGAGAGAGAGAAAAUCCUAUCCCAUCCUAUCCCUUUUUUGCAUCUACAUUUUGGGUGAUCCAGGAAACACACACAUCUCUCUUAUCCCUUCUUGCAAACACCAGAUAUUUCCUUCAUUUUCCUUAGUCCAUGUUUAGUAUUACACCGGGAACAGUUACCAUUCCUCUGUCACGUUGCUCUUGUCAGUGAAGCAAAGGGUGCCCCAGGAACUGCUGCCGGGGUGAAAGGAAAGGGUCAAAUGUGAUAUACUUGUGUGACUUAGAGCAAGAAGGGAGGCCGGGUGAAGGUGUUGUUCUGUCCUGGGGUUCUGUAUGAUUAAUGAUGAUAAUAAUAAUAAUGGUAAUAAUAAUGACAAUAGUGUUUAUGAAAUAUUUAGUUAGACCAUUUUUUUCAACCACCACCACCAUCACCACUACUACUACUACUACUACUACUACUACUACUACUACUACUACUACUACUACUACUACUAUUACCACUAUUACUACUACUACUACUACUACUACUACUACAAUCUUAAUGGUAGAAAGUUAAAAGGAAUACCAUACACACACACACACACACACACACACACACACCCCUUAUCAUAUCUUAAUCUUAGUUAUAGUGACAAUCUUUUUUAUUAUUUUUUUAUCAUGUCAAGAGUAACCACUAUAUUAAACACAACCCAUAUGCCUGAGAGUGAGUGUGUGUGUGUGUGUGUGUGUGUGUGUGUGUGGCUAGAGUCUUGAGUUGAAGGAUUUGUUUGUUUGUUUGUGUGUGUGUUUUCCGUCCUUGGCUGUUGGUGGUCUAUUGAUGUUACUGUUCAUUUCGCCUUUUUUUGUUGUUUUGUUUUCUUUCUUUUAUUUUCAUCGCUAUCCCUUUCUCUUUAUUUUAUCUCCCUCAUGUAUUUGUCGACAUUACCAUUAUUAUUGCUACUCAUUCUUCCUCUUUGUUUCAUUUUUAUUUUCUCCUUUCCUUCUCUUAGCUCCAUUUAUCAUUAUUAUUAUCUUUGCCUUUAUUUACUUGUGUGUGUGUGUGUGUCAAGGUAUAUUGAUCACUCCUUUCCUCCUCCUACUUCUCUCCUUUUUUUUUCUAUCUUUUCCUUUAGCUAACUUAUUGCCAUCUCCUCCUCUUUCUCUCCUUUCUUCCUCUUUUCCUCCUUCUCUUUCUUUUUUUUCUAUCUUUUCCUUUAGCUAACUUCUUGCCAUCCCUUCCUCUUUCUCUCCUUUCUUCCUCUUUUCCUCCUUCUCUUUCUUUCUUUUUUUUCUAUCUUUUCCUUUAGCUAACUUCUUGCCAUCUCUUCCUCUUUCUCUCCUUUCUUCCUCUUUUCCUCCUUCUCUUUCUUUUUUUUUCAAUCUUUUCCUUUAGCUAACUUAUUGCCAUCCCUUCCUCUUUCUCUCCUUUCUUCCUCUUUUCCUCCUUCUCUUUCUUUUUUUUUCUAUCUUUUCCUUUAGCUAACUUCUUGCCAUCCCUUCCUCUUUCUCUCCUUUCUUUCUCCUUCCCUCCUUCUCUCUCUCUCCAUUCUCUGUUUUGUCUCUUCCUUCAGCUAACAUAUUGCUAUCCCUUCCUCCUCCUCUUCCUUUUCUCUCUCUCUCCUCCUUUUUGUCUCCUUCUCUUUCAUCUUUUCCUUCAGCUAACAUUACUCUCCCUUCCUCUUCCUCUCCAAUCUCUCUCCUUUCCUCCUCCUCUUUCCUUUUUCUCUUUAUUUUGUCUUUUUUCAGGUAACAUCACUAUUCCUUCCUCCUCCUCUCCUUUCUCUCCUUUUUUCCUUUUUCUCACUAUUUUGUCUUUCCCUUUAGCUAACUUCCUAUUCUCCCUUCCUCUUCCUCUCCUCUCUCUCUCUCCUUUCCUCCUCUUUCUCUCCUUUUUUUCUCUAAUUCAUCUUUUCCUUCAUCUAACUUACCACUUUCCCUUCCUCUUCCCUCUCCUACCCUUCACCUAACCCCUAUAUUAUCAUUACCAUUUCUAUUAUUAUUUACGAUGUACGACUCCAGGUGAACCGAGGGCAUAAAGGUGUGUCUCGUUAGCUAUCCAGGUGGUGGUGUUCGGGGCUCAGGUGGUGAUGGUAGAUAAUUUAGCCCACCUAAGGAUGAGAGGAUUAGUUACCUGUAGGACAUUAAGGAAGAAAGAUUGGACCAUAUGAGAGAGAGAGAGGAUGUUAGUCUAUUAUGAGAGAGAGAAAGGGGAGGGGGGGUUAGUCUAUUGUCACCUUCAUAAUUAAACUGCCUAAGUAAUUUUUUUUCUACUCUCGAUAAUUAGAAACAAACUCAUUUUCUGAUUCUUCUCUUCUGGCUACUCAUUUCUAUUCUCUCCUGUUCUCUUCUUUUUUAUAUGCAAACUGCCUCAGUAAUUUUUUUCUUUUUUUCAGAUAAGUAAAAACAAACUCAUUUUCUGAUUCUUCUUUUCUGGUUCUCAUUCUUCUCUUCUGGCUACUCAUUUCUAUUCUCUCCUAUUCUCUUCUUUUUUAUAUGCAAACUGCCUAAGUAAUUUUUUUCUUUUUUUCAGAUAAGUAAAAACAAACUCAUUUUCUAAUUCUUCUUUUCUGAUUCCAGUUUUUCUCUUCUAUUCUCUUUUUUUUAAUCUUUUUUUGGCCUUUGAACUGGAAAAAAACACUCAUUUUCAAAUUCUUCUCUUACCUUAUUUCUAUUCCCUUUUCUAUUUUCUCUUCUUUAUCUAUUUUGCCCUUUCUCUUCUUCCUUUACUCUAAAAAGUGUAAGGGCUUACGGGAUAGGCAGAAAUGUUAAGGCAAAUAUUACACCACUCACACCUUCAAUAACAAAAACAACCCUACCAAAAGGUGCGCCAGAAGCUAAAAAAUGAAAUGCACCCAAAAUCUCAAAAUCCGAAAAUUGUUGCAAAAAAUGACUUAGGGCAGUUUAUUGACGAGGGUGACGGCAGAUGAUGACGACGAUGAUGAUGAUGCCUCUGUUAUUGUAUAUCCUAUAGACUGUUUUAUAUGGGUUGACAUAAUCAUUGGGAGACAUAAGUUAGUUUGUAUGUAAGUAAGUGCUUGAGAUGACUUUCCAUGGUGACUUUGAACCUAAAAAUAAAUACUAGAUGAAAAAUAUAGAUAUAAUAGAGUACCUCAUCCACACACACACACACACACACACACACACACACACACACACACACUGUAAUACUUGAGUACGAAAUUAGCAAGCAAAUAUCCAAGACACACACACACACACACACAGACACACACACACACACACUGUAAUACUUGAAUGCGAAAUUAGCAAGCAAAUAUCCAAGUUCUCGGCUUCUUAAACUUUGCCGCUGUCGGAUUUAUUUAUUUAUAUGUUUUGCACAGGUUGUAUGCCAGAGAGUAACUUAAGAAGACACACUUACAUGCAUCCCUGGAGUGAAAGACAUGUAUAGUCCUGGUCGCAAGUACAGAUUCUGAUGAUACGUAAAGGAAAUCAAUCAUACCGUAACUGUACCGCCAUUUUCUUUUUUUGUGUGGUUUCAGCAUUCAUUCAGUAAGUCUAAAAGAAAGGUCAAGUGUAUGUAGUCCUGGUUUCUGUCACGCUUGGCUAGAGGCGUUUUGUAAAGCAGUGUUAAGAGGUGCACAUUGUUUGCAAUAAAAUGAUGCUAAACGAUAUAUAUCUACAAACUUUA